This 253-nucleotide ribosomal RNA is filed under the name uncultured bacterium. Its description in RNAcentral is "partial 16S ribosomal RNA". It matches the Rfam family "Bacterial small subunit ribosomal RNA", at positions 524 to 776 of the family's 1533-position model. The record is from RNAcentral.
GACGAACCGUGCGAACGUUGUUCGGCAUCGCUGGGCUUAAAGGGCGCGUAGGCGGGCUGCCAAGUCUGGGGUGAAAUCCCACGGCUCAACCGUGGAACUGCCUCGGAUACUGGCGGCCUCGAGGGAGGUAGGGGCGUGCGGAACUGUGGGUGGAGCGGUGAAAUGCGUUGAUAUCCACAGGAACUCCGGUGGCGAAGGCGGCACGCUGGACCUCUUCUGACGCUGAGGCGCGAAAGCCAGGGGAGCAAACGGG